RNAcentral lists this long non-coding RNA (1697 nucleotides) under Homo sapiens (human). Its description in RNAcentral is "HSALNT0343415". Lineage: Eukaryota; Metazoa; Chordata; Mammalia; Primates; Hominidae. The record is from RNAcentral.
GAGGUUGCUGCUCACUUCUCAGAGGGCAGGCUGGCUUCUAAAAAUCAACGCUCCCUCCACCCCCAAACAGCGAUUCUUCUGCAGUGAAUCACUUCCAGAAAUGAAUAGCCACAGUUUUUUGGAAUGAACGUUGUGAAAUCCCUCCUUUAUAAUGGCAGGUUUUCAGUUGGUGGUUUUAUCAGAAUUUCUCAAGAUCAAAACGAAACCUUCUCUUUAAAAAGGAAAGAAAGUACUAUCGAUACAGAAAGCAAAAGUAUUUCCAGUCUCCUACUGAACUGUCACGGCAGACCUCUCUGUAUCUAUAUUUAGAGCUGUAUGUCCAUAUAUUUGCCUGAAUGUGUGAGUUCUUGGAAGUAUGGAUUCAUUGCCAGGAGCUGGUGAUUUCCUAAGCAGAGGUCGCUAACUACAAGAAAUGUUACACUCGGUGAGUAGGUGGUACUUUCUGAAGAUUAUUGGUAACCCAGUGUUGGUCGUCUUGAGUCAUGGAUUUAAAUGACGGCUAGCAAGCUCUUAAACACCUUCUGCUUUAUAUGAUACAGAGUAUGGAACUGCAGGACGCACAGACAACUGUGAAGGGUUUUUAAGAAUAUGGAUUCAUUGAAUAAUCAGUGAAUCUUGUGAAUAUACUAGACCUUUGGAGGAGGAAAGGGUGUUUUACAGAAGGAAGUGGUUUGUGGGGGCUUUUAAAGGACAAGUCCUGCGCUUGGGGAUCCUCUGUACGCCCGUUCACUGGUGCAGGUCUUCUGAACAAAUGCCUCCUGAGGAUUUCUGUGCCUGGAAAAUAUCUGUUAACAGACUGCUUUUACACCUACGUAAGUAGAGGCUUCUGCUUAUAAGUCAACCUCAAGGGAGUUUUAUUUUGUCCCUGGAUGAUUCCUCAGUACAUUUUUCUUUUUCUUUUUUGAGGUAGGGUUUUGCUCUGUUGCCCAGGCUGGAGUACAGUGGUGUGAUCACAACUCACUGCGGCCUCAACCUCCCAGGCUCAAGCGAUCCUCCCACCUCAGCCUCCCAAGUAGCUGGGACCACAGGCGUGUACCACCCACGCCUGGCUAGUUUUUUAAAAUUUCUUUUGUAGAGGCAGAGUCUCCCUGUGUUGCCCUGGUUUCAAACUUGGGCCAAGUGAUUCUCUGCCCCAGCCUCUCAAAGUGCUGGGAUUACAGGUGUGAGCCACCGUGCCUGACAAGCCUGAUAUGUUUUUUUAAAUGAUCAUUAGUAUUUGAUCUCUACUCUUUUUCUCUCAACCACCCAACUCCCGGUUUACGGUCAGGAAGAAUCUAUAACAUGAACUCCUGCUUAAAAACAAGGGUAUAGAUCCCAUAUUCAGGUCUUAGACUGGGAAGAAGAGAAGGCAGUCAAAAAUAUUAAAUAUAUGAAUUUCAGUAAAUUCAGUUGGGGAUGCCAUUUCAGCUUUGCAGUCAGUUACUCCAGAAUAUGUCAAUGUAUGGCAAAGCAUGUGACAGCAGGAUCUCUGCACCCUCUCCAUUUACCAGCUGUGGUGGAUCUCUUAGCCACAUCUCUGUUUAUAAUGUGCUUAUUGAAAACUAAUGUAUUACUUUUAUUAUCAUAGCUACCAUUUACUGAAUAUUUACAUUGUGCUAACACUGGUUCAGAUGGCUUCAUCAUAUUUACCUGAUUUAAUCCUCACAACAACCUUAUGUGCUAGGUCCAGUUAUUACCAUCUUUUUUUUUUUUUGAGA